UUGCUUCCACAGCACAGUUACUAAAAUUGGAUCCAUAAAAAGAUUAGCAUGGUCCCUUCCCAGGGAUGACGCGCACAUUUGUGAAGCGCUCCUUAUUUUU
This 100-nucleotide small nuclear RNA is filed under the name Carlito syrichta (Philippine tarsier). The record is from RNAcentral. Lineage: Eukaryota; Metazoa; Chordata; Mammalia; Primates; Tarsiidae.